AAGUCGUAACAAGGUUUCCGUAGGUGAACCUGCGGAAGGAUCAUUACCGAGUUAGGGUCUCCUCCGUGAGGCCCGACCUCCCAACCCCGUGUCUAAUAAACCUGUACGUGUUGCUUCGGCGGACCGGCAGUCGCCCUUCGGGGGGACCGUCGCCGGGGGAGAACGGUCUCACGACCGCCCUUGGAGAGCGUCCGUCGAUGGCCCAACCAAAACAACUCCCAAACCCAAAAUAUUGUACCUAAAACUUCUGAAUCAGACCUUUUGAUAUACCAAUCAAAAACAAAACUUUCAACAACGGAUCUCUUGGUUCUG
This 312-nucleotide unclassified non-coding RNA is filed under the name fungal sp. RNAcentral describes it as "partial internal transcribed spacer region". The stretch from base 1 to 46 matches the Rfam family "Eukaryotic small subunit ribosomal RNA", at positions 1786 to 1831 of the family's 1831-position model. The record is from RNAcentral. Lineage: Eukaryota; Fungi.